GAUGAACGCUGGCGGCGUGCCUAAUACAUGCAAGUCGAGCGAACGGACGAGAAGCUUGCUUCUCUGAUGUUAGCGGCGGACGGGUGAGUAACACGUGGAUAACCUACCUAUAAGACUGGGAUAACUUCGGGAAACCGGAGCUAAUACCGGAUAAUAUUUUGAACCGCAUGGUUCAAAAGUGAAAGACGGUCUUGCUGUCACUUAUAGAUGGAUCCGCGCUGCAUUAGCUAGUUGGUAAGGUAACGGCUUACCAAGGCAACGAUGCAUAGCCGACCUGAGAGGGUGGUCGGCCACACUGGAACUGAGACACGGUCCAGACUCCUACGGGAGGCAGCAGUAGGGAAUCUUACGCAAUGGGCGAAAGCCUGACGGAGCAACGCCGCGUGAGUGAUGAAGGUCUUCGGAUCGUAAAACUCUGUUAUUAGGGAAGAACAUAUGUGUAAGUAACUGUGCACAUCUUGACGGUACCUAAUCAGAAAGCCACGGCUAACUACGUG
Molecule: ribosomal RNA, 497 nt
Filed under: uncultured bacterium
Lineage: Bacteria
Description: partial 16S ribosomal RNA
Rfam family: Bacterial small subunit ribosomal RNA
Source: RNAcentral